This 246-nucleotide unclassified non-coding RNA is filed under the name uncultured Sordariales. RNAcentral describes it as "sequence contains 5.8S rRNA gene, ITS2, 28S rRNA gene". The stretch from base 1 to 52 matches the Rfam family "5.8S ribosomal RNA", at positions 103 to 154 of the family's 154-position model. The record is from RNAcentral. Lineage: Eukaryota; Fungi; Ascomycota; Sordariomycetes; Sordariales.
AACGCACAUUGCGCCCGCGAGUAUUCUCGCGGGCAUGCCUGUUCGAGCGUCAUUUCAACCAUCAAGCCUCUGGCUUGUGUUGGAGCCCUGCGGCUGCCGCAGCCUCCCAAAAACAGUGGCGGGCUCGCUAUCACACCGAGUGCAGUAGUUUCCUCUUCGCUCAGGGCGUGUGGCGGGUGCUAGCCGUGAAACCCCCCACCUUUCAAGGUUGACCUCGGAUCAGGUAGGAAUACCCGCUGAACUUAA